Molecule: ribosomal RNA, 492 nt
Filed under: uncultured bacterium
Lineage: Bacteria
Description: partial 16S ribosomal RNA
Rfam family: Bacterial small subunit ribosomal RNA
Source: RNAcentral
AGUGAACGCUGGCGGUAGGCCUAACACAUGCAAGUCGAACGGCAGCACAGUAAGCGCUUUCUCUUACGGUUGGCGAGUGGCGGACGGGUGAGGAAUACAUCGGCAUCUACUUUUUCGUGGGGGAUUACGUAGGGCCACUUACGCUACUACCUCAUACGUCCUACGGGUUAAAUCAGUGGUUCUUCGCACUUUUCCUGUUUGUAUGAGCUGAUUUCGGAUUAGCUAGUUUGCGGGGUAAAGGCCCACCAAGGCGACGAUCCGUAGCUGGUCUGAGAGGAUGAUCAGCCACACUGGAACUGAGACACGGUCCAGACUCCUACGGGAGGCAGCAGUGGGGAAUAUUGGACAAUGGGCGAAAGCCUGAUCGAGCCAUACCGCGUGGGUGAAGAAGGCCUUCGGGUUGUAAAGCCCUUUUGUUGGGAAAGAAAAGCAGCAGGAUAAUACCUCGCUGUUCUGACGGUACCUAAAGAAUAAGCACCGGCUAACUUCGUG